AGUCCGUGCCUUUCAGGCAUCCUCUCCUUAAACCUCACAGCCGGUUUAACGACCGGCUAUUUUUUGCUCAGGC
This 73-nucleotide small RNA is filed under the name Sphingobium sp. YR768. RNAcentral describes it as "Makes More Granules Regulator RNA (mmgR)". It matches the Rfam family "Makes More Granules Regulator RNA (mmgR)". Rfam says of the family: SuhB later renamed mmgR (makes more granules regulator) was a putative non-coding RNA found multiple times in the Agrobacterium tumefaciens genome and related alpha-proteobacteria. Other non-coding RNAs uncovered in the same analysis include: speF, ybhL, metA, and serC. Several studies inSinorhizobium meliloti showed that suhB element is indeed a non-coding RNA:firstly it was detected on Northern blot and called Sm8RNA, secondly in an RNAseq study referred to as SmelC689. Lineage: Bacteria; Pseudomonadati; Pseudomonadota; Alphaproteobacteria; Sphingomonadales; Sphingobiaceae. The record is from Rfam by way of RNAcentral.